Molecule: ribosomal RNA, 466 nt
Filed under: uncultured bacterium
Lineage: Bacteria
Description: partial 16S ribosomal RNA
Rfam family: Bacterial small subunit ribosomal RNA
Source: RNAcentral
GACGAACGCUGGCGGCGUGCUUAACACAUGCAAGUCGAACGGAAAGGCCCUGCUUUUGUGGGGUGCUCGAGUGGCGAACGGGUGAGUAACACGUGAGUAACCUGCCCUUGACUUUGGGAUAACUUCAGGAAACUGGGGCUAAUACCGGAUAGGAGCUCCUGCUGCAUGGUGGGGGUUGGAAAGUUUCGGCGGUUGGGGAUGGACUCGCGGCUUAUCAGCUUGUUGGUGGGGUAGUGGCUUACCAAGGCUUUGACGGGUAGCCGGCCUGAGAGGGUGACCGGCCACAUUGGGACUGGGAUGCGGCCCAGACUCCUACGGGAGGAAGCAGUGGGGAAUAUUGCACAAUGGGCGGAAGCCUGAUGCAGCAACGCCGCGUGCGGGAUGACGGCCUUCGGGUUGAAAACCGCUUUCGCCUGGGACGAAGCGUGAGUGACGGUAAUGGGUAAAGAAGCACCGGCUAACGACG